UUAUUCCGUCAUAUUGUCUCUGGAUUAAAUGUAUUGCUAAUGUCACUUUUAUAAACAAAUAAAAGUUAAAACUACAAUAUUAUUGUAAAUUUGCAAUAAUUGCAAAUUCCAAUUAUUGGAAGCUGCAAAAGGGACAUUAGAAUGUCAGCAAGGUCGGAACAAUUUUCGAUUUAAGUGGAAUUUCCGGAAGGUGCAAAGUGAAUAUAUGAAUUUUAAUUGCAUGUUUAAAUUAAUUAUGGAUUUGACCUCACAACUAAUCUGCAUAAUGAAGAAGCAACAUAUUUUGUUACCGCUUAGAAGAAACAAUAGAAAUAGUACUGUGGAUUGAUAAAUAAAGAGAGAAAAUAAGGUUGACUAGAAGUUGAUAAGGAAUAGAAUGAUAGUCCAAGGAAUUAAAAAACAAUAGAAAAAAAACGUAGACUAGUGUGAACACUGAAAUUAGAGUUUGAUUUAAGCUUUAAUUAGGUUUGGUGUUUGUGCUUGAACAUUUUUAAAGUCAAUUUGUAAGCAGAUUUAUAUAUAAGUGUAGAUUUUAUUAGUGAUUUGCUACUAGUUGGAAUUAUCUCUGUCUAUGUCCAACAAACAAUUUCAGUUUAAGUUAGAGUCAUAAAGGUUGAUUGUUUAUAAUAUAUUUAUACUUUUAGAAAGUGAGAAUUGAAAAACAGCAAGUACUCAAUGAAAUGAAAAGAGGGAUUAAUAAAAAUUAUAAAAUAGAAACUUAGUCUGGUAUGAAAUUAUAACCCUUAAUCAACCUUUGAUUCCAUAUUGAUGCUCCAACAUCUUAGAUAUAAAUUUAAGUUUGAUGCUGUUUUUAAGUUAAUAUUUAUGUCUAUUAACUUUUGGUUAUAUCAGUGAUUUGCUACUAGUUAAUAUGUUUAAGUAAGAAAUGAAUAAACAUUGUAUGUUAUGUAUUUGUCAGUUUUAUUUUUGGUAAUUUACCUAUGUCUUCUUUGGUAGGAAAAGCCAUUAAAGUGGUUCACAAUAUUAGUUUAUUUUACAAGAAUAUACAGAUAAUGCAUAUAUGAAUGACCCGUACCUACUAAUAGUUAGGAAUAUUAA
Pieris napi is the source of this 1059-nucleotide long non-coding RNA. RefSeq lists it as uncharacterized. The record is from RefSeq and is a predicted model, not a curated record. NCBI's taxonomy places the organism in Eukaryota, Metazoa, Arthropoda, Insecta, Lepidoptera, Pieridae. The transcript has 2 exons.